RNAcentral lists this non-coding RNA (22 nucleotides) under Arabidopsis thaliana (thale cress). The record is from RNAcentral. Lineage: Eukaryota; Viridiplantae; Streptophyta; Magnoliopsida; Brassicales; Brassicaceae.
UAUAGAAGAUGCUUGUUACCAA